ACUGCGAGCGUGACGGCGCGAGCAGGUGCGAAAGCAGGUCAUAGUGAUCCGGUGGUUCUGAAUGGAAGGGCCAUCGCUCAACGGAUAAAAGGUACUCCGGGGAUAACAGGCUGAUACCGCCCAAGAGUUCAUAUCGACGGCGGUGUUUGGCACCUCGAUGUCGGCUCAUCACAUCCUGGGGCUGAAGUAGGUCCCAAGGGUAUGGCUGUUCGCCAUUUAAAGUGGUACGCGAGCUGGGUUUAGAACGUCGUGAGACAGUUCGGUCCCUAUCUGCCGUGGGCGCUGGAGAACUGAGGGGGGCUGCUCCUAGUACGAGAGGACCGGAGUGGACGCAUCACUGGUGUUCGGGUUGUCAUGCCAAUGGCACUGCCCGGUAGCUAAAUGCGGAAGAGAUAAGUGCUGAAAGCAUCUAAGCACGAAACUUGCC
Molecule: ribosomal RNA, 427 nt
Filed under: Escherichia coli
Lineage: Bacteria; Pseudomonadati; Pseudomonadota; Gammaproteobacteria; Enterobacterales; Enterobacteriaceae
Description: partial 23S ribosomal RNA
Rfam family: Bacterial large subunit ribosomal RNA
Source: RNAcentral